Long non-coding RNA from Thunnus maccoyii (southern bluefin tuna), 835 nucleotides. RefSeq lists it as uncharacterized. The transcript is spliced from 4 exons. Lineage: Eukaryota; Metazoa; Chordata; Actinopteri; Scombriformes; Scombridae. The record is from RefSeq and is a predicted model, not a curated record.
UCCUGCUACAGGCAGCAUUUCUUCCCACAGAAAAGUUCAAGCCAGUGGAUUCUCCUGCAGGUUUGUUUGAUGAUGAGAUGACGGCAGCAAGGAAAGAUGUACAAUUAACUUGCUGGAAAUGCGCUGAGGCAUAAAAACCUGAGGAGAGGUAAAGUCAGCCUGAGCUGACAAGCCCCGGCCGGCCCACUCAGCAGCAGCAGCAGCAGCAGCAGCACUGGAGGUCCGUACAGGACAGCUUCACACCUCCACCAGUGUAAAGGCCCCAUCUACGGCUCCCUAUAGAGGCAUCUCUGAUUGGUUCAUCCAUAUAAUCAAUGGGGUCAAGGCUGAAGUCUAUCUAAUAAAGCUUCCUUGAAUGAACUGUUCUUGUGGUAAAUCUGGGUAGGCCACUUUCAACUACCACAAAAUGCCAGAAGAAGAAGAAGAAGAAGAUGGAGAAGGAAGUGGUUUCUGCACAACAUAGGACAACUAAGAACGAAUAUAGUGACUAUCAUCUGCAAUUAUAACAAGGUUAAAAUAAAAGAAGUGCUGCUAACUGAUGUAUUUAUAGUAGGUUUCUCAGAAGACACCAAGAUUACAUCAGUGGUUUGUGUUUUGUUUUCACCUUUGCAUCAUCUGACUGAAAACUAGAUAACAAUCUCUAAUGCUUCACUGAUUUUUAAGUAUUGGAUAGUUAUCUAAACUAUACGUAAGACAUGAAGUAUCUAGGUUUGAAAGAGGCUUUUGAUUUGACGCAAAAUCAACAUAUGAUGUGUUUUCCAUUUGAUAAUACAUCAAAAUAUAGGUCUGUUUAUCCUUAUUUUACAUGUAUUACUUAUGCAAACCAUCCUUUAAC